GUGAGUGCGCCGGAGCUGGAGAGCCGGGGUGGUCUGUAAAACCACUGCUUAACCGCUGAGUAAGUUCGAAUCUUACCACUCACACCA
RNAcentral lists this transfer RNA (87 nucleotides) under Chitinophagaceae bacterium. Its description in RNAcentral is "tRNA-Tyr". It matches the Rfam family "tRNA". From Rfam's summary of the family: Transfer RNA (tRNA) molecules are approximately 80 nucleotides in length. Their secondary structure includes four short double-helical elements and three loops (D, anti-codon, and T loops). Further hydrogen bonds mediate the characteristic L-shaped molecular structure. tRNAs have two regions of fundamental functional importance: the anti-codon, which is responsible for specific mRNA codon recognition, and the 3' end, to which the tRNAs corresponding amino acid is attached (by aminoacyl-tRNA synthetases). tRNAs cope with the degeneracy of the genetic code in two manners: having more than one tRNA (with a specific anti-codon) for a particular amino acid; and 'wobble' base-pairing, i.e. permitting non-standard base-pairing at the 3rd anti-codon position. Lineage: Bacteria; Pseudomonadati; Bacteroidota; Chitinophagia; Chitinophagales; Chitinophagaceae. The record is from RNAcentral.